GAUGAACGCUAGCGGCGGGCCUAACACAUGCAAGUCGAACGGUAACAUGAGUAGCAAUACUUGAUGACGAGUGGCGCACGGGUGCGUAACGCGUAUGCAACUUACCUCUAACUGGAGAAUAGCCUUCCGAAAGGAAGAAUAAUACUCCAUAAUAUUACGAUGUGGCAUCACAUUGUUCUUAAAGCUUCGGCGGUUAGAGAUGGGCAUGCGUCUGAUUAGCUUGUUGGUGAGGUAACGGCUCACCAAGGCAACGAUCAGUAGGGGGCCUGAGAGGGUUAUCCCCACACUGGUACUGAGACACGGACCAGACUCCUACGGGAGGCAGCAGUGGGGAAUAUUGGACAAUGGGGGCAACCCUGAUCCAGCCAUGCCGCGUGUGUGAAGAAGGCCU
This 391-nucleotide ribosomal RNA is filed under the name uncultured bacterium. Its description in RNAcentral is "bacterial SSU rRNA". It matches the Rfam family "Bacterial small subunit ribosomal RNA", at positions 28 to 417 of the family's 1533-position model. The record is from RNAcentral.